RNAcentral lists this ribosomal RNA (465 nucleotides) under Vreelandella stevensii. RNAcentral describes it as "partial 16S ribosomal RNA". It matches the Rfam family "Bacterial small subunit ribosomal RNA", at positions 338 to 795 of the family's 1533-position model. Lineage: Bacteria; Pseudomonadati; Pseudomonadota; Gammaproteobacteria; Oceanospirillales; Halomonadaceae. The record is from RNAcentral.
CCUACGGGCGGCAGCAGUGGGGAAUAUUGGACAAUGGGCGAAAGCCUGAUCCAGCCAUGCCGCGUGUGUGAAGAAGGCCUUCGGGUUGUAAAGCACUUUCAGUGGGGAAGAAAGCCUUGGGGCUAAUACCCUCGAGGAAGGACAUCACCCACAGAAGAAGCACCGGCUAACUCCGUGCCAGCAGCCGCGGUAAUACGGAGGGUGCGAGCGUUAAUCGGAAUUACUGGGCGUAAAGCGCGCGUAGGCGGUCUGAUAAGCCGGUUGUGAAAGCCCCGGGCUCAACCUGGGAACGGCAUCCGGAACUGUCAGGCUAGAGUGCAGGCGAGGAAGGUAGAAUUCCCGGUGUAGCGGUGAAAUGCGUAGAGAUCGGGAGGAAUACCAGUGGCGAAGGCGGCCUUCUGGACUGACACUGACGCUGAGGUGCGAAAGCGUGGGUAGCAAACAGGAUUAGAUACCCGGGUAGUC